GCAUUACAUUUAAGCUCAGUCGGUAGAGCAUGAGAUUUAAUCUCAGGGUUGUGAGUUUGAGGCUCAUGUAGGGCA
Molecule: non-coding RNA, 75 nt
Organism: Podarcis lilfordi (Lilford's wall lizard)
Lineage: Eukaryota; Metazoa; Chordata; Lepidosauria; Squamata; Lacertidae
Source: the annotation of a GenBank genome assembly